RNAcentral lists this ribosomal RNA (168 nucleotides) under Bregmaceros sp. CBM DNA No. 2015-157. RNAcentral describes it as "partial 12S rRNA". Lineage: Eukaryota; Metazoa; Chordata; Actinopteri; Gadiformes; Bregmacerotidae. The record is from RNAcentral.
CACCGCGGUUAUACGAAAGGUUCAAGUCGAUGAUUAAACGGCGUAAAGUGUGGUUUAGUAAAUUCGCUUGAAGGAUCAAAUAAUCUCAAUGCAGUUAUACGCCUACGAGAUCAAUAAGCCCAAAACGAAAGUUGUCCUCAUAUACUACAUUCCACGAAAGCCAAGACC